Zingiber officinale is the source of this 2651-nucleotide RNA transcript. RefSeq lists it as uncharacterized. The record is from RefSeq and is a predicted model, not a curated record. The transcript has 5 exons. NCBI's taxonomy places the organism in Eukaryota, Viridiplantae, Streptophyta, Magnoliopsida, Zingiberales, Zingiberaceae.
UCCAUGUUAUCUACUAUAUAAAUUAAUUGAACAAUUACAUUUAACAAAUAAAUGUAAACAUUUGACCAAUGUGAUUCUUUAUUUCAAAAUAAAUGUGUACAAAAACUAAACUUUUAAGUAUACACUUCAACAGAGACAUGAUGGACAUUUUCAACUAUAUAUUUUAUAGUUAUUUAUUUUGAUUGAUACAUGUUCUUAUCAAUAAUUGCAUAACUCUUUAUUGAGUGUUUCAAUAUAUUUGUCUGCUUAUUUAUUUUCAGCAAUGCAUCAUGUCAUAUUACAUGUUUGACCAGGUCAUUACAUAGCUUUAAAAAGAUGAGUAAAAUGGUUAAAAAAUGUGGCAAAGGAUUUGUAGCUGAAAUUCAGGUGAUAUUGUAUUCUAUUUUAAAUCUUGGUUUAUUUUACUAAAGACAUUUCAAUAUCUCUUUUUGCUAUUUUACAGGAAAAUAUAACUAAUAAGUUAUCGAGAAUGGACUCUAACAAUUCAACCAAUUCAUCAGAAGAUUUGCAUGGUAAAGAACCAAUUGCUGAUGAGAAAAUUGAUAAUAAAAAAGGACGGGGUGCUUCAAAGUUGAAAAUGGUUAGUGGCCAAGACAAGUGCAAAGAGCUGGAGCGUAAUGAGUUUGGACAGCCGAUUGGAGAUAAUUCAGUGAAGUACGCUUCUUUCCUAGGUUGCAUGAUAAAGGAAUUUGUGCUAUAUACAUUAGAUGGAUGGAGUGAUAUUGAUGAAGAAGUGAAAGAUAGGAUGUGGAGUUGUCUUCAGAUGACUUAUAAAGUUGAGGAUUGGGAAAAGAAAUCAAUUUUUUCAAAAGUUAGCUAAAUUGUGGCGCGAUAGAAAAUCCAAAUUGCAAAUACUUGUACGAGAAGCUAAUACAAGUCGAGUGGCUUCACGAGAUCUCAGUUUGUUGAAGCCUGAAUUUAUGGACCAAAAUCAGUGGGACUUGUUUGUACAGAGGACAUUAUCAUCUACCUUUCAAGAAAAGAGUGCAAGAUUUAGAGCAAUGAGGGAAAAACAAGACCACAUUCACACAAUGAGUCGGAGGGGUUAUGCUCGUUUGACUCACAUUAUGGAAAAGACAAGUCCGAUAGAUACAAAAAUUACGAGAUCGCAAGUUUGGAUUGAAGGUCACAAGAAAAAAAAUGGGGAGCCCAGUACUCAAGCCGUUGGAGAGAAAAUGAUAAGCAUGUUCACUCAUUUUAGAUUUCUUUGGUAUUUUAUUCAACUGAUAUGGUUUUUCAUAAGCAUUUAUACUUAAGAUCUCCAUUUUAGUUGAUUCAUCUAUUGCUGGUAUUUCAUCAUUUGUUACUCUGUUGCUGUAAGAGUGCUACUGUAAAUCAAUGACUUUUUAUACUUAAGAUCUCCUCAUGUUUUUGAUUUCUGAAUUUAAUCGCUCACUCUGAAGCUUAUAAUCUUCAAUUUCAGAUUGCUAUGACAAAAUCUUUUUUUAAUUUUCUCUGGAGUCAGUAAACCUUUCAUGCAACGCUGUAGCUAAACCUUCCAUUGAUUUUUUUUAUGUUUUCUCUAUGAUCUUUGCUGGCAUUAAGCUUGUCAACAGUCUCUCAAUUUAUGAAGCAGAAACAUUGUAAUUGUCAAGUGCUUGUAACCUGUUUUAGAUCCGUAAGAAUGUAUGUACAAUGUGUUUAAUUUUUGAAAUAUGUGCCUACGUAAUUGUAGCUGUGUUUGCCGUUUCUGACUUCGUACCGUGUUAUGUUUUUGUUGCUUUGGUUUAUUUUUGCUAGUUAUUAGUUAUUCAAAUUCUCUAUUGUAGGUUUUUUCAUUUAUUUACCAGUUUUGAUAAUAAUUUUUGUGUCAUCCUUUGUAUUUAUUCUGUCUUUGGAACUAAAUCAGUAUCUGAUAAUAGUCUGAGAUUUUUUCUCAUAUGGUUAGUGAACAUAAAUCUCUAAAGUUUGUCUGUCUGUUUUAAUCUUGCUAUAUGAAGUGAGUUUUAAAAUUCCUUAUUGUUUAAACUUAGUUUUGAUAAUAAUUUUUGUAACACCCUUUUAAUUUAGUUGACUUCUAAACUGAACUAAGUUCAGUAUAGUUCAUUUAUUCACAUGUAGAAAUUUUUAUAGUUCAUUGAUAAUAAUUUUUGUAACACCCGUGGUAUAUGAAGCUGUGCAUUUCUUUAUUCUAUUUAAGAAUUUUAACAUGAGUUGAUUUCUUUAUUAUAUGUUGAUUUCAUUUACAUGCAUGAUAUGUUGAUGUUUUGUAUAGUCAUUUAUUAUAUUAAUGAUAAUAUAUUGAAAGUUUUUUUUUGUUGCAGAAAAAAAUAUUAGAAUGUCCACCCGAAUCUCAAAACACAACUAAUAUUGUUGAUGAUGCAAUUAGCAUUGUGUUUGGCAAAGAAGCUCGGGGUAGAGUGCGUGGAAUGGGCUUUGGAGUAACACCAUCGAAAGUUGGAGCUUCUGUGCAACAAAAUAGAACGGUUCAAAAACUUCAAACUGUAGUACAAAAUGUUCAACAACAAAUGCAAGAAAUGAGGCAACAAAAUCAACUAGAAAUGAAAGAAAUGAGGUCUAUGUUUUUACAAAGUAUGAGACAACAAAAUCAUCCAGAACAGAUUGCUAGUGGUGGCAUUUGUAGCGGUAUUGGGAAUGAAUUUGGUAGCAAUAGCGAUAUCAAUAUUGGUGCCAAAAAAGUGAUGAUUUUG